RNAcentral lists this non-coding RNA (583 nucleotides) under Pongo abelii (Sumatran orangutan). Lineage: Eukaryota; Metazoa; Chordata; Mammalia; Primates; Hominidae. The record is from RNAcentral.
CUUAGUUACUAGAAUAUUUUUCUCAACCAUGAAUCUGACUUCACUCCCUUUCUUGAAAACCUCCUGUAGUUCCUGUUGUGUACAGGAUAAAGGUGCUUACCAUGGGGCUGCGCAGGUGGAAAGCAGCCCAGUCUUACUAUGAGGAUGUCAGUUUGCCAUCUGGGAACAAGGAGGAAGAAGCAGAGACCUGGGCAAGACCUCAGAGAAUAAAUUAUCUCAAUGGCUACUCACAUGGUUCAGCAUAGCACACAAAAAAGCCACACUGAGCAAGCAGUGGUCCUUUCCAUGCUACACAAGCAAGAAAUGCCUAUGAAGACAGACUUGAGUGCAGUCUAAAGAAUCUUUUUGCUUUGCCUUAACACUCUAUUUCUGGAUAUCCUUGCUCAAAAAGAAGUCUACUCAAGACAGGGAGGUUCCUGUGGACAGAAACAUCUGCUUCCUGCUUAUCCUGUAUCUCAGCAUCUGAAUGGUCAUGACUGGAACACAGGCAGACUUUAGAAAUAUGGCAAUUUACAAUCUCAUACUCCUCCAAUCUUUUAGAAAAAGAGUGUGGGUAACAAUAAACGUAUCUGCUGAGAAAUCA